Molecule: long non-coding RNA, 312 nt
Organism: Amphibalanus amphitrite
Lineage: Eukaryota; Metazoa; Arthropoda; Thecostraca; Balanomorpha; Balanidae
Exons: 3
Source: RefSeq, a predicted model, not a curated record
CGCCGUGAGUCUAAAGCCGGCCCUCACCAGGUGCCCUGAGCUGCGAUGCCUAUCAGUCACCGCCGCCGACCUCCUGCGACUGAGGGAGCAGCUGCCGGAGGGUCUCAAGCGCCUCAAUGUCAGAGGGCCGGAGGUGACGGAGCCGAGGUGGCCGGGAUGGUAUGGGAGUGGUCUGUCAGUAUCGCUCCAGGGGGUGGCUGCCGACACCAUCAGUCACCUGGCUGACCUGGGACGGACGGUCACACUACUGGAGAUAUACGAUUGUACUGAUCACACGGCCGGCAGCCUGGAGCCCCUCACCAGGUGCCCUGG